CGUGCCCUGACGGCGUACCUUUUGUAUAAUGGGUCAUCGACUUGGUCUAUCUAGCAAGCUUAAGCCGUUAGGUGUAGGCGCAGCGAAAGCGAGUCUUAAUAGGGCGUAUGAGUUAGAUGGAUCAGACCCGAAACCGAGUGAUCUAGGCAUGACCAGGAUGAAGGUUAGGUAACACUAACUGGAGGUCCGAACCCACACCUGUUGAAAAAGGUCGGGAUGAGUUGUGCCUAGGGGUGAAAGGCCAAUCAAACUCGGAGAUAGCUGGUUCUCCGCGAAAUCUAUUUAGGUAGAGCGUCAUCCGAAUACCCCGGGGGGUAGAGCACUGGAUGGGUAAUGGGGCCCCACAGGCUUACUGAUCCUAACCAAACUCCGAAUACCCGGGAGUACUAGAUGGCAGACACACCACGGAUGCUAACGUCCGUGGUGGAGAGGGAAACAACCCUGACCUCCAGCUAAGGCCCCUAAUUCAUGGCUAAGUGGGAAAGCAGGUGGGACGACCAAAACAACCAGGAGGUUGGCUUAGAAGCAGCCAUCCUUUAAAGAUAGCGUAACAGCUCACUGGUCUAAUCAAGUUGUCCUGCGGCGAAGAUGUAACGGGGCUCAAGCCAUGAGCCGAAGCUGAGGAUGCACGUAGUGCAUGGUAGCGGAGCGUAGUGUGACAUAACACCAUGCCUCCUUAGUCCCCUCGGGGACAUUGGAGGCGAGGUGUUUUCGAUGAAGCCGGCGCGUGAGCGAUCCGGUGGAGAGAUCACUAGCGAGAAUGAUGACAUGAGUAGCGACAAACAGGGUGAGAGACCCUGUCGCCGAAAGUCCAAGGGUUCCUGCUUAAAGCUAAUCUGAGCAGGGUAAGCCGGCCCCUAAGGCGAGGCCGAAAGGCGUAGUCGAUGGGAACCAGGUUAAUAUUCCUGGGCCAGGAGAUGGUGACGGAUCACAAAGGUAGUUCAAUCUUAUCGGAUUGAUUGGGCUGCUCCGUGGUCCCUGGAAAUAGCCCUCCGUAGGACCGUACCCGAAACCGACACAGGUGGACUGGUAGAGAAUACCAAGGCGCUUGAGAGAACGAUGUUGAAGGAACUCGGCAAAAUACCUCCGUAAGUUCGCGAGAAGGAGGCCCAGUUUCUAGGCAACUAGUGGCUGGGGGCACAAACCAGGGGGUGGCGACUGUUUACUAAAAACACAGGGCUCUGCGAAGUCGCAAGACGACGUAUAGGGUCUGACGCCUGCCCGGUGCCGGAAGGUUAAAAGGAGGGGUGCAAGCUCCGAAUUGAAGCCCCGGUAAACGGCGGCCGUAACUAUAACGGUCCUAAGGUAGCGAAAUUCCUUGUCGGGUAAGUUCCGACCUGCACGAAUGGCGUAACGACUUCCCCGCUGUCUCCAACAUCGACUCAGCGAAAUUGAAUUGCCUGUCAAGAUGCAGGCUUCCCGCGGUUAGACGGAAAGACCCCGUGCACCUUUACUACAGCUUCACACUGGCAUCAGGCACAACAUGUGCAGGAUAGGUGGUAGACUUUGAAACCGGAACGCCAGUUUCGGUGGAGUCAUCCUUGAGAUACCACCCUUGUUCUGCUUGAUGUCUAACCGCGAUCCCUUAUCGGGUUCCGGGACCCUGUGUGGCGGGUAGUUUGACUGGGGCGGUCGCCUCCUAAAGCGUAACGGAGGCGCGCGAAGGUUGGCUCAGAGCGGUCGGAAAUCGCUCGUUGAGUGCAAUGGCAUAAGCCAGCCUGACUGCGAGACUGACAAGUCGAGCAGAGUCGAAAGACGGCCAUAGUGAUCCGGUGGUCCCAAGUGGGAGGGCCAUCGCUCAACGGAUAAAAGGUACGCCGGGGAUAACAGGCUGAUACUGCCCAAGAGUCCAUAUCGACGGCAGUGUUUGGCACCUCGAUGUCGGCUCAUCUCAUCCUGGGGCUGGAGCAGGUCCCAAGGGUACGGCUGUUCGCCGUUUAAAGAGGUACGUGAGCUGGGUUUAGAACGUCGUGAGACAGUUCGGUCCCUAUCUGCCGUGGGUGUAGGAUACUUGAGAGGAGUUGCCCCUAGUACGAGAGGACCGGGGUGAACGGACCACUGGUGGACCUGUUGUCGUGCCAACGGCAGUGCAGGGUAGCUAUGUCCGGACAGGAUAACCGCUGAAGGCAUCUAAGCGGGAAGCCCCCCUCAAAACAAGGUAUCCCUGAGGGCCGUGGUAGACCACCACGUCGAUAGGAUGGAGAUGUAAGUGCGGUAACGCAUUCAGUUGACCAUUACUAAUUGCCCGAUAGGCUUGAUUUG
This 2262-nucleotide ribosomal RNA is filed under the name Pseudooceanicola nitratireducens. RNAcentral describes it as "bacterial LSU rRNA". It matches the Rfam family "Bacterial large subunit ribosomal RNA", at positions 587 to 2925 of the family's 2925-position model. The record is from RNAcentral. Lineage: Bacteria; Pseudomonadati; Pseudomonadota; Alphaproteobacteria; Rhodobacterales; Paracoccaceae.